RNAcentral lists this unclassified non-coding RNA (1358 nucleotides) under uncultured cyanobacterium. Its description in RNAcentral is "bacterial SSU rRNA". The stretch from base 1 to 1063 matches the Rfam family "Bacterial small subunit ribosomal RNA", at positions 475 to 1533 of the family's 1533-position model. Lineage: Bacteria; Bacillati; Cyanobacteriota. The record is from RNAcentral.
GUACCUGAAGAAAAAGCAUCGGCUAACUCCGUGCCAGCAGCCGCGGUAAUACGGAGGAUGCAAGCGUUAUCCGGAAUCAUUGGGCGUAAAGGGUCCGCAGGUGGCGAAUAAAGUCUGCUGUUAAAGACCGGGGCUAAACUCCGGAAAGGCAGUGGAAACUGAUUAGCUAGAGUACGGUAGGGGUAGAGGGAAUUCCCAGUGUAGCGGUGAAAUGCGUAGAUAUUGGGAAGAACACCGGUGGCGAAAGCGCUCUACUAGGCCGAGACUGACACUGAGGGACGAAAGCUAGGGUAGCGAAAGGGAUUAGAUACCCCUGUAGUCUUAGCGGUAAACGAUGGAUACUAGGUGUAGCUUGUAUCGACCCGAGCUGUGCCGAAGCUAACGCGAUAAGUAUCCCGCCUGGGGAGUACGCACGCAAGUGUGAAACUCAAAGGAAUUGACGGGGGCCCGCACAAGCGGUGGAGUAUGUGGUUUAAUUCGAUGCAACGCGAAGAACCUUACCAGGGCUUGACAUGUCGCGAAUCUAGCGGAAACGUUAGAGUGCCUUAGGGAAUGCGAACACAGGUGGUGCAUGGCUGUCGUCAGCUCGUGUCGUGAGAUGUUGGGUUAAGUCCCGCAACGAGCGCAACCCUCGUCCUUAGUUGCCAAUAUUAAGAUAGGCACUCUAGGGAGACUGCCGGGGACAACUCGGAGGAAGGUGGGGAUGACGUCAAGUCAGCAUGCCCCUUACGUCCUGGGCGACACACGUACUACAAUGGUUGGGACAAAGGGCAGCAAACUCGCGAGAGUAAGCGAAUCUCAUCAAACCCAGCCACAGUUCAGAUUGCAGGCUGCAACUCGCCUGCAUGAAGUAGGAUUCGCUAGUAAUCGCAGGUCAGCAUACUGCGGUGAAUUCGUUCCCGGGCCUUGUACACACCGCCCGUCACACCAUGGAAGCUGGCUACGCCCGAAGUCGUUACCCUAACCCGGUUUUGGGAGGGGGAUGCCGAAGGUAGAGCUAGUGACUGGGGUGAAGUCGUAACAAGGUAGCCGUACCGGAAGGUGUGGCUGGAUCACCUCCUUUACAGGGAGACCUAGUCUAAUUACCAAUAGAUAAAAAAGUUGGUAAUUCGCAAGAAUCCUUAGGUCGUGAGGGGAGCAAGAAAAAACUUUCAAACUGUAAUGGGUGAGGGUCAAUGGGCUAUUAGCUCAGGUGGUUAGAGCGCACCCCUGAUAAGGGUGAGGUCCCUGGUUCAAGUCCAGGAUGGCCCACCUAAAAUACACAGGCAUCCUGCCUGUGCCACAAAAAAAGGAAAAAGUUUUGGCAUUGUCUCUUGUAAUCAAGAGCAAGAGAUAAUGCUGGAAUAGAUUCCAGCAAG